Molecule: long non-coding RNA, 1101 nt
Organism: Patiria miniata (bat star)
Lineage: Eukaryota; Metazoa; Echinodermata; Asteroidea; Valvatida; Asterinidae
Exons: 2
Source: RefSeq, a predicted model, not a curated record
CAUGUAAUUAGGCCCUGAUCACAGAUGACACAAAUAAUUGGAAGGAUUUCUUUUGUUGUUGGAUUAAAAAAAACAAAGUACUUUUUUUUCGCAGCAAUCGCUUUCGUCAGUCACAUGAGAUAAUCUCACAUUCCGUAUGAUCACCCCUUGACCAAUCCAAAUAAGGUUUUUCUUCUAAAUGACAUAUUCAAUAAUUAAUUCUGUUGCGUGUUCCCAUACACGCAAUACAUUGCUGAAUGUUGCCUGUAGAAUACCGACAACGUCAGGUUAUUAUUACAUAGAAAUCCUGUUUAAAAAUCAACCUAUCCAAUUUAAAUUACAAAAUCCUAAACGAGUAAAACUUGAUACUUAAUGUUAAUAAAAAAAGGAUUACAGAUGGGCAAGGAAAUACAGGCAGACUACAAUUAUGUCCAAUCGAAGCUAAAUCUACAAGGUACCAAAUGUUUAACAGAGUUGUUCAUAAACACAACGUCAUCUAAAAUAGUCAUCAUAUUAUCAAUACAGCCAGCAUCUUCAUUCAGAGAAUUCAUUCACAAACAAUCUGAUAGUUUGGACUGAUACAAUCCAAGAUUUUUAAGUAGAGUGUUUUAAGUAAAGAGAAAAACAGAGUCGCGUGAAUCAGUUUCACUUCAUUUGACAGAGUCCUUGAGGAAGUCAUGCAUAGGUCCUUUCAAAGGUGACAAGGAGAAUAUGUGCAUUGCACCUACUUUGUGCGCAUUAAGGUGAUGACUGUUCAUGCGUACUCUAGAGUGCAAACAAAGGUGCACAAAGACUUAAAUGCAAAUGCUGCAUUGCACCUACUUUCUGUGCGUUCUGGUGAUAAUUGUUCAUGCGUACUCUAUAGAGUGCAAACAAAGGUGCACAAUGACCUACACUCGGGCCACACAGGUGCCACUCAUUGGUCCUACACAGGGUCUGUUAUGCUGCAUUCAGGUGCGCAUUCAGGUGAUAAUUGUUCAUGCGUACUCUAUAGAGUGCAAACAAAGGUGCACAAUGACCUGCACUCAGGCCACACAGGUGCCACUCAUUGGUCCUACACAGGGUCUGUUAUGCUGCAUUCAGGUGCGCAUUCAGGUGAUAAUUGUUCAUGCGUACUCUAUA